GAUGAACGCUGGCGGCGUGCCUAAUACAUGCAAGUCGAGCGAACGGACGAGAAGCUUGCUUCUCUGAUGUUAGCGGCGGACGGGUGAGUAACACGUGGAUAACCUACCUAUAAGGCUGGGAUAACUUCGGGAAACCGGAGCUAAUACCGGAUAAUAUUUUGAACCGCAUGGUUCAAAAGUGAAAGACGGUCUUGCUGUCACUUAUAGAUGGAUCCGCGCUGCAUUAGCUAGUUGGUAAGGUAACGGCUUGCCAAGGCAACGAUGCAUAGCCGACCUGAGAGGGUGAUCGGCCACACUGGAACUGAGACACGGUCCAGACUCCUACGGGAGGCAGCAGUAGGGAAUCUUCCGCAAUGGGCGAAAGCCUGACGGAGCAACGCCGCGUGAGUGAUGAAGGUCUUCGGAUCGUAAAACUCUGUUAUUAGGGAAGAACAUAUGUGUAAGUAACUGUGCACAUCUUGACGGUACCUAAUCAGAAAGCCACGGCUAACUACGUG
This 497-nucleotide ribosomal RNA is filed under the name uncultured bacterium. RNAcentral's name for it is "partial 16S ribosomal RNA". It matches the Rfam family "Bacterial small subunit ribosomal RNA", at positions 28 to 507 of the family's 1533-position model. The record is from RNAcentral.